UACGUAUGGUGCAAGCGUUAUCCGGAUUUACUGGGCGUAAAGGGAGCGCAGGCGGCGCGCCAAGUCUGAUGUGAAACCCCGGGGCUCAACCCCGGGCAUGCAUUGGAAACUGGCGGGCUGGAGUGCCGGGGAGGUAAGCGGAAUUCCUAGUGUAGCGGUGAAAUGCGUAGAUAUUAGGAGGAACACCAGUGGCGAAGGCGGCUUACUGGACGGCAACUGACGCUGAGGCUCGAAAGCGUGGGGAGCAAACAGG
Molecule: ribosomal RNA, 253 nt
Filed under: uncultured bacterium
Lineage: Bacteria
Description: partial 16S ribosomal RNA
Rfam family: Bacterial small subunit ribosomal RNA
Source: RNAcentral